RNAcentral lists this ribosomal RNA (510 nucleotides) under uncultured bacterium. RNAcentral describes it as "partial 16S ribosomal RNA". It matches the Rfam family "Bacterial small subunit ribosomal RNA", at positions 28 to 507 of the family's 1533-position model. The record is from RNAcentral.
GACAAACGCUGGCGGCAUGCCUAACACAUGCAAGUCGAACGGACAGAACAGGGCAGCUUUUGGGCGUGGGAGUGGAGAGUGAGAGGCGGCUGGGUGAGUAAGGAGUGGACAACGUAAGGGGUAAGGGGAACGACCUCGAGAAAUGGAAGCUAAUACGACAUAAUAACCUUGCUUCGCAUGUAGAUAGGAGAGAAGGCGGGCUUAGAGCUGUCGAUGCAAGAUGGGUAUGCGUGUGAUUAGCGAGUAGGUGGGGUCACGGCAUACGAAGGAGACGAGCGGAAACGCGCCCGAAAGGGUCAACGCCCACAUGGGCACUGAGGCUCGGCCCAAACUCCUACAGGGAGCAGCAGUGGGGAAUCUUCCGCAAUGGGCGAGAGCCUGACGGAGCAAUGCCGCGUGAGUGAAGAAGGCCUUCUGGUUGUAAAACUCUGUACUUAUCGAGGAGGGAAUGUUGUAUUAACUGACAAGACUAUGACGGUACCUGAAGAAGAAGCCCCGGCUAACUCUGUG